Osmerus eperlanus (European smelt) is the source of this 72-nucleotide small nucleolar RNA. RefSeq annotates it as small nucleolar RNA SNORD47. Lineage: Eukaryota; Metazoa; Chordata; Actinopteri; Osmeriformes; Osmeridae. The transcript has a single exon. The record is from RefSeq and is a predicted model, not a curated record.
AGCCACUGAUGAAAAGAUUCUGCCAUAUUACUGUCAAUGAUUAUAACCCUACCGUUCCAUUAUUCUGAGGCU